GGGUGAGUAACGCGUGAGGAACCUGCCUCAAAGAGGGGGACAACAGUUGGAAACGACUGCUAAUACCGCAUAAGCCCACAGGUCGGCAUCGACCAGAGGGAAAAGGAGCAAUCCGCUUUGAGAUGGCCUCGCGUCCGAUUAGCUAGCUGGUGAGGUAAUGGCCCACCAAGGCAACGAUCGGUAGCCGGACUGAGAGGUUGAACGGCCACAUUGGGACUGAGACACGGCCCAGACUCCUACGGGAGGCAGCAGUGGGGAAUAUUGCACAAUGGGGGAAACCCUGAUGCAGCGACGCCGCGUGGAGGAAGAAGGUCUUCGGAUUGUAAACUCCUGUUGUUGAGGAAGAUAAUGACGGUACUCAACAAGGAAGUGACGGCUAACUACGUGCCAGCAGCCGCGGUAAAACGUAGGCCACAAGCGUUGUCCGGAAUUACUGGGUGUAAAGGGAGCGCAGGCGGGAAGACAAGUUGGAAGUGAAAUCUAUGGGCUCAACCCAUAAACUGCUUUCAAAACUGUUUUUCUUGAGUAGUGCAGAGGUAGGCGGAAUUCCCGGUGUAGCGGUGGAAUGCGUAGAUAUCGGGAGGAACACCAGUGGCGAAGGCGGCCUACUGGGCACCAACUGACGCUGAGGCUCGAAAGUGUGGGUAGCAAACAGGAUUAGAUACCCUGGUAGUCCACACCGUAAACGAUGAUUACUAGGUGUUGGAGGAUUGACCCCUUCAGUGCCGCAG
RNAcentral lists this ribosomal RNA (731 nucleotides) under uncultured bacterium. Its description in RNAcentral is "bacterial SSU rRNA". It matches the Rfam family "Bacterial small subunit ribosomal RNA", at positions 104 to 851 of the family's 1533-position model. The record is from RNAcentral.